GACGAACGCUGGCGGCGUGCUUAACACAUGCAAGUCGAGCGGUAAGGCCCUUUCGGGGGUACACGAGCGGCGAACGGGUGAGUAACACGUGGGUGACCUGCCCUCAGCUCUGGGAUAAGCCUGGGAAACCGGGUCUAAUACUGGAUAUGACUCCAUGACGCAUGUUGUGGGGUGGAAAGCCUUGUGCGGCUGAGGAUGGGCCCGCGGCCUAUCAGCUUGUUGGUGGGGUGAUGGCCCACCAAGGCGACGACGGGUAGCCGGCCUGAGAGGGCGACCGGCCACACUGGGACUGAGACACGGCCCAGACUCCUACGGGAGGCAGCAGUGGGGAAUCUUGCGCAAUGGGCGAAAGCCUGACGCAGCGACGCCGCGUGAGGGAUGACGGCCUCGGUGUAAC
Molecule: ribosomal RNA, 397 nt
Filed under: uncultured bacterium
Lineage: Bacteria
Description: bacterial SSU rRNA
Rfam family: Bacterial small subunit ribosomal RNA
Source: RNAcentral